UACAGAGGGUGCUAGCGUUGUUCGGAAUCAUUGGGCGUAAAGGGCGUGUAGGCGGUUUGUUAAGUCAUGUGUGAAAUCCCUCGGCUCAACCGGGGAACGACGCAUGAAACUGGCAAGCUAGAGUACCGAAGAGGGGGGUGGAAUUCCCGGUGUAGCGGUGAAAUGCGUAGAUAUUGGGAGGAACACCAGUGGCGAAGGCGGCUACCUGGACCGGUUCUGACGCUGAGGCGCGAAAGCGUGGGUAGCAAACAGG
This 253-nucleotide ribosomal RNA is filed under the name uncultured bacterium. RNAcentral's name for it is "partial 16S ribosomal RNA". It matches the Rfam family "Bacterial small subunit ribosomal RNA", at positions 524 to 776 of the family's 1533-position model. The record is from RNAcentral.